RNAcentral lists this long non-coding RNA (366 nucleotides) under Brassica napus (rape). Its description in RNAcentral is "long non-coding RNA (BNAP_LNC009636)". The record is from RNAcentral. Lineage: Eukaryota; Viridiplantae; Streptophyta; Magnoliopsida; Brassicales; Brassicaceae.
GCCAGAGACGGAGAAACGGCGGAAGAAGAUUUUGGUGCCAUUGAUCCCGACGGUGAAGAACCCGGAGCAGAGGACGGAGGUGAUGGAGGAGAAGUCAUCGGAGAAACAGGGGAAGAAGACUCAGGUGACAUAGAUCCCGGCGGAGAAGCCAUCGGAGCAGAGGACGGAGAAACAGGGGAUGAGGACUUAGGUGACAUGGAUCCCGGCGGAGAAGUCACCGGAGCAGAGGACGGAGAAACGGGGGAGGAUGAUUUAGGUGGCAUAGGCGCCGGUGGAGAAGUAGCCGGAGAAACAGGGGAAGAAGAAGACUUAGGUGGCAUUGAUCCUGGCGGAGAGUUUCCCGGCGUGGAGGCUUGAGGAGGCGGA